UAGAGAUAGGGGUUCCUAGCGAGCCCAACCUCCCACCCGUGUUUACUGUACCUUAGUUGCUUCGGCGGGCCCGCCAUUCAUGGCCGCCGGGGGCUCUCAGCCCCGGGCCCGCGCCCGCCGGAGACACCACGAACUCUGUCUGAUCUAGUGAAGUCUGAGUUGAUUGUAUCGCAAUCAGUUAAAACUUUCAACAAUGGAUCUCUUGGUUCCGGCAUCGAUGAAGAACGCAGCGAAAUGCGAUAACUAGUGUGAAUUGCAGAAUUCCGUGAAUCAUCGAGUCUUUGAACGCACAUUGCGCCCCCUGGUAUUCCGGGGGGCAUGCCUGUCCGAGCGUCAUUGCUGCCCAUCAAGCACGGCUUGUGUGUUGGGUCGUCGUCCCCUCUCCGGGGGGGACGGGCCCCAAAGGCAGCGGCGGCACCGCGUCCGAUCCUCGAGCGUAUGGGGCUUUGUCACCCGCUCUGUAGGCCCGGCCGGCGCUUGCCGAACGCAAAUCAAUCUUUUCCAGGUUGACCUCGGAUCAGUAGGAACACGCUUUGCAGUCGUAUUUAAUAGGAAAUA
Molecule: ribosomal RNA, 558 nt
Filed under: Aspergillus flavus
Lineage: Eukaryota; Fungi; Ascomycota; Eurotiomycetes; Eurotiales; Aspergillaceae
Description: eukaryotic LSU rRNA
Rfam family: 5.8S ribosomal RNA (bases 183-336)
Source: RNAcentral